AGAGUUUGAUCCUGGCUCAGAUUGAACGCUGGCGGAAUGCUUUACACAUGCAAGUCGAACGGCAGCACGGGGGCAACCCUGGUGGCGAGUGGCGAACGGGUGAGUAAUACAUCGGAACGUGCCCAGUCGUGGGGGAUAACUACGCGAAAGCGUAGCUAAUACCGCAUACGAACUCUGGUUGAAAGCGGGGGAUCGCAAGACCUCGCGCGAUUGGAGCGGCCGAUGGCAGAUUAGGUAGUUGGUGGGGUAAAGGCUCACCAAGCCGACGAUCUGUAGCUGGUCUGAGAGGACGACCAGCCACACUGGGACUGAGACACGGCCCAGACUCCUACGGGAGGCAGCAGUGGGGAAUUUUGGACAAUGGGCGCAAGCCUGAUCCAGCCAUUCCGCGUGCAGGAUGAAGGCCCUCGGGUUGUAAACUGCUUUUGUACGGAACGAAACGCGCUGAGCUAAUACCUCGGCGUAAUGACGGUACCGUAAGAAUAAGCACCGGCUAACUACGUGCCAGCAGCCGCGGUAAUACGUAGGGUGCAAGCGUUAAUCGGAAUUACUGGGCGUAAAGCGUGCGCAGGCGGUGAUGUAAGACAGAUGUGAAAUCCCCGGGCUCAACCUGGGAACUGCAUUUGUGACUGCAUCGCUGGAGUGCGGCAGAGGGGGAUGGAAUUCCGCGUGUAGCAGUGAAAUGCGUAGAUAUGCGGAGGAACACCGAUGGCGAAGGAAUCCCCUGGGCCUGCACUGACGCUCAUGCACGAAAGCGUGGGGAGCAAACAGGAUUAGAUACCCUGGUAGUCCACGCCCUAAACGAUGUCAACUGGUUGUUGGUCCUUCACUGGAUCAGUAACGAAGCUAACGCGUGAAGUUGACCGCCUGGGGGAGUACGCCGCAAGGUUGAAACUCAAUGAAUUGACGG
This 910-nucleotide ribosomal RNA is filed under the name uncultured bacterium. Its description in RNAcentral is "bacterial SSU rRNA". It matches the Rfam family "Bacterial small subunit ribosomal RNA", at positions 8 to 916 of the family's 1533-position model. The record is from RNAcentral.